Molecule: non-coding RNA, 657 nt
Organism: Chiloscyllium plagiosum (whitespotted bambooshark)
Lineage: Eukaryota; Metazoa; Chordata; Chondrichthyes; Orectolobiformes; Hemiscylliidae
Source: RefSeq, a predicted model, not a curated record
AUGUUUUCUAAUAAACUGUGGGCAGCUUUGAAGUUUGUUUGUUCACUUUCUGUAUGGUAUCUGUUUUUAAAUCUACGUGGGCUGCAUUCUAAGACAAAAUGUUCAGAUUUGAGCUGCAUUGUUUUAUGUGGAAGUGAAUGCAGGGGAACUAAAUGGCUAAGACUUUGUUUCUUUAAUCAUUUUUGGGGGAGAUCCUAAUCGUUUCACUUUUUUCUUUUUCGCAUUUAUAUUUCGGUAGUUAAAAAGGGUGACAGAAUAGCUCAACUGAUUUGUGAACGCAUCUGCUAUCCAGAACUUGAGGAGUUGAAGAGUCUAGAUGAAACUGAACGCGGUGCAGGUGGUUUUGGCUCUACUGGUACAAACUGAACGUGAUGUUCUGCCAAACCAUUUCAGACACUGCCUAAUGUCUCUUUGGAGAAUGUUACAAGCUGUGGGUUCUUCAGGAAACAGCAAAUUGAGAAAUGUAUAGUGAACGUCUUUCAUGCUUUGUGGGUAAAACAGAAUGGGAAUCUAUCCUAAUGUAAAACUGCUUUCAUCUAGGCAAUUUCAAGAGCCUGAUCUUGGUAGUGACUGUAAGACUACUUAUUCUAGUUAUGGACUUGAGCAGUUGGGUGUUUUUUUAUUAUAACAAUAAAACUUUUUGACAUUAAAAAAAAA